RNAcentral lists this non-coding RNA (84 nucleotides) under uncultured Victivallis sp. Lineage: Bacteria; Pseudomonadati; Lentisphaerota; Lentisphaeria; Victivallales; Victivallaceae. The record is from RNAcentral.
GCGGCAGUGAUGUCGUGUGAUGAGGGCGCAGAAGUCAGCAGAGGUCAUAGUAGUGUGGCAAUGCACAAAGGACCGAGCUGAAGG